UACGGGGGGGGCAAGCGUUGUUCGGAUUUACUGGGCGUAAAGGGCGCGUAGGCGGCAAUUCAAGUCAGCUGUGAAAUCUCUGGGCUUAACUCGGAACGGUCAGCUGAUACUGCUUUGCUAGAGUGCAGAAGGGGCAAUCGGAAUUCUUGGUGUAGCGGUGAAAUGCGUAGAUAUCAAGAGGAACACCUGAGGUGAAGACGGGUUGCUGGGCUGACACUGACGCUGAGGCGCGAAAGCUAGGGUAGCAAACGGG
RNAcentral lists this ribosomal RNA (253 nucleotides) under uncultured bacterium. RNAcentral describes it as "partial 16S ribosomal RNA". It matches the Rfam family "Bacterial small subunit ribosomal RNA", at positions 524 to 776 of the family's 1533-position model. The record is from RNAcentral.